This 205-nucleotide long non-coding RNA is filed under the name Salvia miltiorrhiza (redroot sage). RNAcentral describes it as "long non-coding RNA (SMIL_LNC010611)". The record is from RNAcentral. Lineage: Eukaryota; Viridiplantae; Streptophyta; Magnoliopsida; Lamiales; Lamiaceae.
GGCAUUUGCAUCGAUAUGCGUGAGGAAGGGUAGCAGAAUUUUUAUCCAACUUCGCAGUAUUAAAGUUAUCCGAGGGGGGAGGCCGGAUUAUUAGUAUGGGUUAUUCCCACAAAAUAGCAUGUAGAAGUAGGAUUAAGUAGGAGUUGACCACAUUAAUAGAACAUGAUAUCAAACAUCACACUAACCUGUAUUAAUUUAAUUUAUC